UGGGACGUAGCUCAACGGUAGAGCUCUGGUCUCCAAAGCCAGUGGUUGAGGGUUCGAUUCCUUCCGUCCCGG
RNAcentral lists this transfer RNA (72 nucleotides) under Actinomycetota bacterium. RNAcentral's name for it is "tRNA-Trp". It matches the Rfam family "tRNA". From Rfam's summary of the family: Transfer RNA (tRNA) molecules are approximately 80 nucleotides in length. Their secondary structure includes four short double-helical elements and three loops (D, anti-codon, and T loops). The record is from RNAcentral. Lineage: Bacteria; Bacillati; Actinomycetota.